GAUGAACGCUGGCGGCGUGCCUAAUACAUGCAAGUCGAGCGAACAGAUAAGGAGCUUGCUCCUUUGACGUUAGCGGCGGACGGGUGAGUAACACGUGGGUAACCUACCUAUAAGACUGGGAUAACUUCGGGAAACCGGAGCUAAUACCGGAUAACAUUUGGAACCGCAUGGUUCUAAAGUGAAAGAUGGUUUUGCUAUCACUUAUAGAUGGACCCGCGCCGUAUUAGCUAGUUGGUAAGGUAACGGCUUACCAAGGCAACGAUACGUAGCCGACCUGAGAGGGUGAUCGGCCACACUGGAACUGAGACACGGUCCAGACUCCUACGGGAGGCAGCAGUAGGGAAUCUUCCGCAAUGGGCGGAAGCCUGACGGAGCAACGCCGCGUGAGUGAUGAAGGGUUUGGGCUCGUAAAACUCUGUUAUUAGGGAAGAACAAAUGUGUAAGUAACUGUGCACGUCUUGACGGUACCUAAUCAGAAAGCCACGGCUAACUACGUG
RNAcentral lists this ribosomal RNA (497 nucleotides) under uncultured bacterium. Its description in RNAcentral is "partial 16S ribosomal RNA". It matches the Rfam family "Bacterial small subunit ribosomal RNA", at positions 28 to 507 of the family's 1533-position model. The record is from RNAcentral.